Long non-coding RNA from Macrobrachium nipponense, 463 nucleotides. RefSeq lists it as uncharacterized. The record is from RefSeq and is a predicted model, not a curated record. NCBI's taxonomy places the organism in Eukaryota, Metazoa, Arthropoda, Malacostraca, Decapoda, Palaemonidae. The transcript is spliced from 2 exons.
GGCAGAGUAACGACCUGAGGGUAGCUGAUCAAUGAGUUUCUAGGGGAUGGCGUGAGAUAAAAAUGCUUAGUUCGUCGAGUCAAUGUACGACAGUUUAUGAACUCUUCCCAAAGUGCCUUUGUGAAACUAGAUGCAGCUAGAACCGCGAGGCGCUAGCGAACUGUGUGGUUCGUAUGUGCGUGUGCGCCUCUUCUAUUCAUAAUGCCAAGUUUAUGGGAAGACUUGCACAGACAUUCGGGGAGGAAGGCGAAGCCAUGAUGGCAGAUGCCAAAGUGUUUUUAUUUAUCAGUGAGUGAUAUUCCGGUUGGGAAUGGAUGGUUCUGGAUUUCUGUGGGACAGAGUUCCCAGGGAAAGGUGUGACCUUUUGGGUGACUUGACAAUGAGUAGUUUUAAGUUAGUCUGUGAGACUGGAUUACUUAGUUAACCGACUUAGUUGUUACUGUAAAUAAACGUUAUGUUAUGA